GCCCCGUUCGUUUAACGAGUAAGACGCCUGGUCUCAUAAACCGCGGAGACGGGGGUGCGAGUCCCUCACGGGGCU
This 75-nucleotide transfer RNA is filed under the name Gemmata algarum. RNAcentral's name for it is "tRNA-Met". It matches the Rfam family "tRNA". Rfam says of the family: Transfer RNA (tRNA) molecules are approximately 80 nucleotides in length. Their secondary structure includes four short double-helical elements and three loops (D, anti-codon, and T loops). Further hydrogen bonds mediate the characteristic L-shaped molecular structure. tRNAs have two regions of fundamental functional importance: the anti-codon, which is responsible for specific mRNA codon recognition, and the 3' end, to which the tRNAs corresponding amino acid is attached (by aminoacyl-tRNA synthetases). tRNAs cope with the degeneracy of the genetic code in two manners: having more than one tRNA (with a specific anti-codon) for a particular amino acid; and 'wobble' base-pairing, i.e. permitting non-standard base-pairing at the 3rd anti-codon position. The record is from RNAcentral. Lineage: Bacteria; Pseudomonadati; Planctomycetota; Planctomycetia; Gemmatales; Gemmataceae.